AUUGAACGCUGGCGGUAUGCUUAACACAUGCAAGUCGAACGGCAGCAUGGUCUAGCUUGCUAGACUGAUGGCGAGUGGCGGACGGGUGAGUAACGCGUAGGAAUAUGCCUUGAAGAGUGGGACAACUUGGGGAAACUCAAGCAAAUACCGCAUGUACUCGAGAGAGUAAAGCUGAGGACCCUUAGGCCUGGCGCUUUACGAUUAGCCUGCGUCCGAUUAGCUAGUUGGUAGGGUAAAGGCCUACCAAGGCGACGAUCGGUAGCUGGUCUGAGAGGAUGAUCAGCCACACUGGAACUGAGAGACGGUCCAGACUCCUACGGGAGGCAGCAGUGGGGAAUAUUGGACAAUGGGGGGAACCCUGAUCCAGCAAUGCCGCGUGUGUGAAGAAGGCCUGAGGGUUGUAAAGCACUUUCAGUGGGGAGGAGGUUUGGAGGGUUAAGAGCUAUUCAAAUGGACGUUACCCACAGAAGAAGCACCGGCUAACUCCGUGCCAGCCGCCGCCGUAA
RNAcentral lists this ribosomal RNA (506 nucleotides) under uncultured bacterium. RNAcentral's name for it is "partial 16S ribosomal RNA". It matches the Rfam family "Bacterial small subunit ribosomal RNA", at positions 30 to 523 of the family's 1533-position model. The record is from RNAcentral.